RNAcentral lists this transfer RNA (71 nucleotides) under Ixodes scapularis (black-legged tick). Its description in RNAcentral is "tRNA-Ser". The record is from RNAcentral. Lineage: Eukaryota; Metazoa; Arthropoda; Arachnida; Ixodida; Ixodidae.
UCCUUGUUAGCUAAGUUGGGACCACUCCACCGGAAAUGGGGAGGUCGCUGGUUCAAUACCAGAACAAGGUG